GAGGGUAUAGCUCAGUGGUGGAGUGCAUGCCUAGCAUGCAAGAGGUCCUGGGUUCAAUUCCCAGUACUUCUA
RNAcentral lists this transfer RNA (72 nucleotides) under Camelus bactrianus (Bactrian camel). It matches the Rfam family "tRNA". From Rfam's summary of the family: Transfer RNA (tRNA) molecules are approximately 80 nucleotides in length. Their secondary structure includes four short double-helical elements and three loops (D, anti-codon, and T loops). RNAcentral also lists the same sequence under 2 other names. Lineage: Eukaryota; Metazoa; Chordata; Mammalia; Artiodactyla; Camelidae. The record is from Rfam by way of RNAcentral.